CCUACGGGAGGCAGCAGUGGGGAAUUUUGGACAAUGGGCGCAAGCCUGAUCCAGCUAUUCCGCGUGUGGGAAGACGGCCUUCGGGUUGUAAACCACUUUUGUAGAGAACGAAAAGUCUAUUGAUAAUACCGAUAGAUGAUGACGGUACUCUAAGAAUAAGCACCGGCUAACUACGUGCCAGCAGCCGCGGUAAUACGUAGGGUGCGAGCGUUAAUCGGAAUUACUGGGCGUAAAGGGUGUGCAGGUGGUUUUGCAAGAUGGAUGUGAAAGCCCCGGGCUUAACCUGGGAAAGCCAUACAUGACUGCAAGACUAGAGUGCGUCAGAGGGGGGUGGAAUUCCAAGUGUAGCAGUGAAAUGCGUAGAUAUUUGGAAGAACACCGAUGGCGAAGGCAGCCCCCUGGGACGCAACUGACGCUCAUACACGAAAGCGUGGGGAGCAAACAGGAUUAGAUACCCCUGUAGUC
This 465-nucleotide ribosomal RNA is filed under the name uncultured bacterium. RNAcentral's name for it is "partial 16S ribosomal RNA". It matches the Rfam family "Bacterial small subunit ribosomal RNA", at positions 338 to 795 of the family's 1533-position model. The record is from RNAcentral.